This 301-nucleotide ribosomal RNA is filed under the name uncultured bacterium. RNAcentral describes it as "partial 16S ribosomal RNA". It matches the Rfam family "Bacterial small subunit ribosomal RNA", at positions 509 to 807 of the family's 1533-position model. The record is from RNAcentral.
CAGCCGCCACGGUAACACGAAGGGGGCUAGCGUUGCUCGGAAUUACUGGGCGUAAAGGGCGCGUAGGCGGCGCUCCAAGUUAGGCGUGAAAUUCCCGGGCUCAACCUGGGGACUGCGCUUAAGACUGGAGUGCUUGAGGAUGGAAGAGGGUUGUGGAAUUCCCAGUGUAGAGGUGAAAUUCGUAGAUAUUGGGAAGAACACCGGUGGCGAAGGCGGCAACCUGGUCCAUUACUGACGCUGAGGCGCGAUAGCGUGGGGAGCAAACAGGAUUAGAUACCCCGGUAGUCCCUGUCUCUUAUAC